AUUGAACGCUGGCGGCAUGCCUUACACAUGCAAGUCGAACGGCAGCACGGGAGCAAUCCUGGUGGCGAGUGGCGAACGGGUGAGUAAUGUAUCGGAACGUACCUUUCAGUGGGGGAUAACGUAGCGAAAGUUACGCUAAUACCGCAUAUUCUGUGAGCAGGAAAGCAGGGGAUCGCAAGACCUUGCGCUGAUUGAGCGGCCGAUAUCAGAUUAGCUAGUUGGUGAGGUAAAGGCUCACCAAGGCGACGAUCUGUAGCGGGUCUGAGAGGAUGAUCCGCCACACUGGAACUGAGACACGGUCCAGACUCCUACGGGAGGCAGCAGUGGGGAAUUUUGGACAAUGGGCGCAAGCCUGAUCCAGCCAUGCCGCGUGAGUGAAGAAGGCCUCGGUGUAAGU
This 397-nucleotide ribosomal RNA is filed under the name uncultured bacterium. RNAcentral describes it as "bacterial SSU rRNA". It matches the Rfam family "Bacterial small subunit ribosomal RNA", at positions 30 to 430 of the family's 1533-position model. The record is from RNAcentral.